This 497-nucleotide ribosomal RNA is filed under the name uncultured bacterium. RNAcentral describes it as "partial 16S ribosomal RNA". It matches the Rfam family "Bacterial small subunit ribosomal RNA", at positions 28 to 507 of the family's 1533-position model. The record is from RNAcentral.
GAUGAACGCUGGCGGCGUGCCUAAUACAUGCAAGUCGAGCGAACAGAUGAGGAGCUUGCUCCUCUGACGUUAGCGGCGGACGGGUGAGUAACACGUGGAUAACCUACCUAUAAGACUGGGAUAACUUCGGGAAACCGGAGCGAAUACCGGAUAAUAUAUUGAACCGCAUGGUUCAAUAGUGAAAGACGGUUUUGCUGUCACUUAUAGAUGGAUCCGCGCCGCAUUAGCUAGUUGGUAAGGUAACGGCUUACCAAGGCAACGAUGCGUAGCCGACCUGAGAGGGUGAUCGGCCACACUGGAACUGAGACACGGUCCAGACUCCUACGGGAGGCAGCAGUAGGGAAUCUUCCGCAAUGGGCGAAAGCCUGACGGAGCAACGCCGCGUGAGUGAUGAAGGUCUUCGGAUCGUAAAACUCUGUUAUUAGGGAAGAACAAAUGUGUAAGUAACUAUGCACGUCUUGACGGUACCUAAUCAGAAAGCCACGGCUAACUACGUG